GAUGAACGCUGGCGGCGUGCCUAAUACAUGCAAGUCGAACGAAACUUCUUUAUCACCGAGUGCUUGCGCUCACCGAUAAAGAGUUGGGUGGCGAACGGGUGAGUAACACGUGGGCAACCUGCCCAAAAGAGGGGGAUAACACUUGGAAACAGGUGCUAAUACCGCAUAACCAUAGUUACCGCAUGGUAACUAUGUAAAAGGUGGCUAUACUACCGCUUUUGGAUGGGCCCGCGGCGCAUUAGCUAGUUGGUAGGGUAAAGGCUUACCAAGGCAAUGAUGCGUAGCCGAAUUGAGAGGUUGAUCGGCCACAUUGGGACUGAGACACGGCCCAAACUCCUACGGGAGGCAGCAGUAGGGAAUCUUCCACAAUGGGCGAAAGCCUGAUGGAGCAACGCCGCGUGGGUGAAGAAGGUCUUCGGAUCGUAAAACCCUGUUGUUAGAGAAGAAAGUGCGUGAGAGUAACUGUUCACGUUUCGACGGUAUCUAACCAGAAAGCCACGGCUAACUACGUG
Molecule: ribosomal RNA, 512 nt
Filed under: uncultured bacterium
Lineage: Bacteria
Description: partial 16S ribosomal RNA
Rfam family: Bacterial small subunit ribosomal RNA
Source: RNAcentral